AUUUUGAGUUUUAGGAUUGGUUAUAAUCUCAUUUAGUUCAACGUUGGAUUGUACUGAAAUUGGAAUUGUUUAAUUAAGACCAGCUUUUCUAUUGAUGUGGACUGUUUGGAAUUGAUUUGGAGUGUGUGAAUUAUGUGGAUUGGGACUGUUUAACUAGUAUUAUUUAUGGUGUUUAAUUUCGUAAUGAACUUCUAUGGACUGUUAAUCCAGCUCAGUUUACUCCUAUGAGUAUGAGAAAUCUGUAGUUAGUUAUUUUAAUUUGGUUUAAUUGGUGUUAAUAGCAUAGUAUAGUACAGUAUGAUCUAGUUUCGUUUUUCAGUAAUGUAA
This 327-nucleotide long non-coding RNA is filed under the name Nicotiana benthamiana. RNAcentral's name for it is "long non-coding RNA (NBEN_LNC009719)". The record is from RNAcentral. Lineage: Eukaryota; Viridiplantae; Streptophyta; Magnoliopsida; Solanales; Solanaceae.